This is a long non-coding RNA of Protopterus annectens (West African lungfish), 4411 nucleotides long. RefSeq lists it as uncharacterized. Lineage: Eukaryota; Metazoa; Chordata; Ceratodontiformes; Protopteridae. The record is from RefSeq and is a predicted model, not a curated record. The transcript has 2 exons.
GGUUCCAGGAAGUGAAGCUGACAAAGCAGGUUUGAAACCCCACGAUAUAAUCAUCGAGGUGAAUGGACAGAACGUUGAGGGGUGUACUUCUGAGGAUUUAAUGUUGAAAGUAAAAGAAGGUGGGCCUCAGCUAACACUGCUUGUCAUUGAUAAAGAAGGAUAUUGUCACUUUAAGGAGGUUAAGAAGGCCAUCACCAUGGAACUGGAGAUGAGAGAAGGAGGAGAGGCCCUGCAGGAGUAUGAAGAGUGAGCUCAAGAUUUUCAGGUUUUCAAGCACAAAUUAAAAAAUUAAUUUGUUCUUGUUUAAGAACACAUAAAGACUGUGCGUGCCAUUUAAGUACCAGCGUUAUAGAGGUGAUGGAUAAUUCAAGGAAUUUUCUUGGAAAUUUCAUGCGAAUGAAGCUGAUCUGCAACACAACCAUCUUUAAAAAUUGUCAGUAUCCUGUGGUUUGGCAUCUGUGCUGCACUGAUCACUGAAACUUUCAUAUAUGUAUGGGUUUAGAUUGACAUGCCAGAACCAAACCUCACCACUGUUAAUCCCUGAAAUGCAGGAAGUCUGAAUCAGAUAAAAUUGUAGAAUUGACAAUGAACUGUGAACCACGUGGAUGAGUACUUUUUUGGCCAUGUAUUACAAAAGAGUUGGGAAACAGUCAGCUGGAUUUCCAAAAACAUAGGAUACUCAUCUGCAUUUAAUAAAUCAACCUAAUUUCAUACUCUUUCUUCCUGUAUACACUUUAAAUAUUGUAAGCUUUUUUUUGGUGGGGGAGGAGGUAUUAUUAUGUGUAUUAGUGGAACUUACAACUUUGAAUAAUUAUUGUCAAUUAAUUUUUAUAUCCACAGUUCACAUCUGGGUGGUAUCUGGAUGACUGAGCAAGAUCUACUACUUUGAGUUCUCAUUUCUUCACGGAUCAGUAACCUACUCCAAGGCUGUGCAAUCUCAGCCAUGCAAUUCAGAGAAUCGGUUAGACUAGGUUAUGUUAACUAAGAGGGUGCAUGGGGCUUGCCCUUCUUAUCACCAGAGGCCAUAAGUGUUCUUAUUCAGGUCCCAGACCGAAUCCAGUAACAGAUUAAUUUUUUUGUAUGAUUAAGCACAUGAGUACAUCCCAUCAAUGGCACUAAACUACUGAUGCCACCUCCUGACAUAAACCUAUUAUGUCUCACCCAGGGUGGGGCAAGGGUGGCAGCUAUCCCAGGUGCAAGAUGUCAGGGAAUGCAAGCUUCAUUACCAGCAUUCUGUUUCUGAAUGCCAGUAAUGCAUUUAUAGAAGCACUUUAACACUCCAGGUGUGGUUUAGUUCAUUAUCGACAUUCAGAAACAAAUGUCAAAAAUGCAUUUUCAAUCAUGGCCAAAGCAUUCAGUGCGCUCCCUGUUAGCUGGUUAGCUGUAGCAAGCAGCAUUUUACACUUGCAGCAAGUGGUUUGUUAAGUUUUAAGGUAGAGAAAGCUUUAUUGGACCUCAAUUUAAAGAGGGACAACAAGAUUAGGGAAUGGCUGUGGGUGCCAGAAUGGCUAUCUACACCUCUGCCUAAAAGAAUAUAUAAACAGUAUGUCUCUGUCUUCACAGGCCUCAUUUGUGUUAUAUGGACCAGCCACCAAUUCUCUUGCCUGUAGCUGUAAACCCAACCUCACCACAUGUGUUCAUCUUCCAUGCAACUACCUGUAUUGCAUAUGGUACAGCCAUGCCUUGAUGAAAGUGUACUGCUAAACCCCACAUCAUGAAGACUAAUGUAAUAUUCCACUGGCUCACCAUCUGUCUCUUCUAGAUUCAUGGAGCUGUUGUGACUUAUAUAACGGAAUUUAAGUGCAAUCUUUUCUGAGCACGGUUGGUAGGAAUAAUCUGGCAUUGUAAGGAGAGAUGGAACACAUUUCUGGUGGUGUGUUUCCAUAGCCCUGAGGUUACAUUGUUCACCUCAAUCUGAAGUUACAUUGUUCACCUCAAUCAGAUAACACCAAUGACAGCAGGAGAUUCUUCAGCUCUAGUAUGUUAUUUUCCCAUGGUGUAAACACUGGGGCCUCUUGCUGGACCCAGUGUAUGAGUGGGCACUGUGAGGAACUUCAAGAGUGUGAUCUAAACUUUAUCUUACUGCAGCACAGAUUAUCAGGGUCUUAACACAGACCUUGGCCUACCAUUUGGCAAGUUUGCUUGUCUGCUGGCCCCUUCACUUGAUCAUCAAACAGUAGCUCUGACCUUUAACACACAGGCAUGUGAGAUCCCAAGGCCCCACAUGAACCUCCCCUGUCAGACGUCUGAAUAAAUUCAUGGCAGCCCAUGUCACAGCCUGUUUAUCUUCUUUUGGCUAUAGCCUUUUCAUCCCUUAUAUCCAUUAUUAUUUUCAAUCAAGCAGUAACACUGUUUCUAAACCAGGAUCACCUUGUAGUUAAUGUUGCUACCUUCCAGCUGCACUUUCCUUUGGGAACAAACACCAGGGUUUCAUUUAGUUUCCAGUCCUGAAAUCCCACUCUCUCCCUUCAGGGUGGUUUGCCCCUUUAAAGUAGAUUCUACCUUGAAAACACUGAGUGUUUGCUGAAACUCAGCCAUCUGGUAUUUCCUUGCUCUGAGGUCUGUUGAGGUGGAAUUUAUGACCAACAUAAAAGAAUAGCAAAUGACCUUCUGCCCAUUCAGUGGCCAUCCAUGGCAUUCUCAUAUUUCCUCUGAGAAUGCUUUGUGCAAAUGAAAAAUAGAAAGCUAGGUGCAGUGAUUUGUCCAGUGAUCUCCACAGUGUUCCACCCAAAUGUUACCUCUGGUUUCCUAACUGAUACCAUUGUACAGCAUUAUGCAGAACUUUCUUCCCAGAGUUACAGCCAUACGUUGUUUAACCACCAGAUAUUCCAGCUUUUACUGAUGCAUUACUUGUUUUCAUAUUGCAACCUCUUUAACUGGAUCUUCCUGUAUCAGUUUCUGCUAAGUAUUAUACCCUGAAACAUUCCAGUCUCCACUUCAGCAGCUGUAGUCUGAAAUACUGCUCAUUCAAACACCAGCUGCACACUGAUAUACUGGUCUGGUCAGUACUGCAUCAGCUGAACUCUAAUAUACUGACUACUAAUGCAACAUUUGUACCCUAAUAUACUGUCAUCAUUACAUCAGAUGUAACUUGAGCUAUACGUCGCUAAUGCAAAAGCUGCACCUCCUUAUACUGAAUUGUUCUACAGUGGCUAUACCCUAAACUGCAAUGGUUUCUAGUGCACUAUCUGCACCUAGAUAUACUAUUUUCUUAUUACAGCAAAUGUACCUUGAUAUACAGAUGUCUAAUGUACAAGCUGAACCCCAGUAUAUUGAUUUAGUGGUUCUAAUGUAACAGCAGUAUCAUGAUAAAAUGGUGUCCAAUGUAUCAGCUGUACCCAGCAUACUGACUGGUACUGGACCAGCUGUACACUGAUAAUGUGAUCUCUAAUGCUCCAACUACACUCCAGAAUCUGGCUGUUCUUUCAAUGGCUACUGCAUCAGCUUCAUUCUGAAAUUUUGCUGCAUCUUCUGUAUGGUACCAGUACUGUAGCAUUCAGGGCUCUGCUGCAUCUCCUGUCUAGCACCACCACUGUGAUGUCCAGGUUUUUCCUGCAUCUCCUGCCCAGUAUCUGUACUAUGCCAUUCAUUUAUUCCCUGCAUCUCCUUCUCAGUAUCAGCACUGCAGUGAGAAAUGCCCAAGUCCCAUGUGAAUUCCAGCUUCCCAGAAAGAUGAAUACAUUCAUGGUAGCACCUUCUGCAGCCUAAAAUUGCCAUCUGCUGCACCUUUUGUCACUUACAUUCUGGUGUCUGCUACAUCUGCUAUAGGAGCUGCUGCCCGAUAGGCUGGUCCCUACUGUACCAGCUGUGCUCCGAUACACCAGACGCUGCUGUAUCAUGCAUCUUCUAGGUGUGACGGUCUCUAUUGCUCUAAGCUUUACUUGCGUGACAAACUGGCCUGCCUCAGGGUUUAAAAGCAUAAGACAGAUGAUUCCCAAGAAAUUAGAGCACAUCAAGUUGCAGUAGCAUUUUUCAAACAACAUUUUCUAGAUGUAAACAUGAGCUCACCCUAUACAGUGCUUGUUUGUUUUGGAUGAGGGAGCUGUAGCCACUGUCAAAAAUCAGCUCAAAUAACUGACUUACAAUAUGAUUUAGACUAGAUUAAUAAGUUAUAUGUAGAAAACCUGGGUGUGAUUCCAACAGCCUUCACUUGGGUACUGUGUUACUAAGUAAAUCCUUAAAAUAACCAGUGUUCCAGGUCACCUUUGAAUACUGGUAACUGUAGCUAAUAGGUCUUACUUGGUUCCUAAAAGGCAUAAAAUAAAUGAAGGAAAUGAAAAUUAAAAUAAUACAUGCUAUCUUUUUUGGAAUAUAUAAUAUUGCAAACAUUUAAACUGUAAAUCUUAAAAGAAAUUGUCAAGACUGUCAUGCAAUAAAGUUUAAUAGUGUGAUACUAUUAUGAAAACGGAAA